RNAcentral lists this long non-coding RNA (3605 nucleotides) under Cricetulus griseus (Chinese hamster). RNAcentral describes it as "lncRNA (ENSCGRG00015031599.1)". Lineage: Eukaryota; Metazoa; Chordata; Mammalia; Rodentia; Cricetidae. The record is from RNAcentral.
CAGGGUAUGUUCCGCCUUCUUCUAACCGAAGUGGCCUCCACUGAGCAUGCUCUAUGUGUGAGCCUGCCAGCAGGUGCUAUACAUCAUUCUGUCCUCACACAGCCCUGUGGGUUGUGUAAAAGCCUCAACUUUCUAAUGAAGGAUGAUGAAACUCAGAGACCACACUGGGAAUGAGCGACGGACUGAGAGAGGCAGAGAAAGAAAAGAGGUCAGUUUUCAAGAUGCAUUGGCCCUGGAUCUCCCUCCAGAGAGCUGGGGAUGGAGGAUGGCUCAGAGCCAACUAAAAGAAGAUGCUCACACACUUCCCGAAUACAUCCUUAGAGGAGCAAUAGGCUCCCCACGGGCUGCCCUUUGGUCCUCUGGGUAAGAUUUUCUGUCAGUUCCAGGACAGCCCCUCACUCUGAGAAUCAGAAGUCUCCCCCUGAGACUCAGCCUCCUUAAGACAAGAACUCCUUCUCAACUUAAAAGAUGACACUUUGCCUCUAGAGACAUCAGCUCCAUCUGUGAAAUGGCCUCACUGAGCUGUCUUAAGUACAAGUGCAAGGCAGAAGCCCAAGAGCUGAGGGCUGGGGCUUGGGGUCAGCCUCCCCUCUAGACAAUGGGGCUGUGUAGUCCCACCCCAGUGGAACUGAUGCUGGAAAGGAGAAGGAGAGGCAGUCUCCCUGACAGAUUUUCCUUCUCCCGUGAUCCCCAUCUUGAGGAAUACCAGAGGCCACCCUGGCCGGAAGCUUGGAUUCCUCUUCUGUGUCCACUCCAUCACAAAGACCUGCUUGUUCCACGCCGGAGAUGAAUCUCCACACUGUCCUGCCCUCCAUGUACCUGAGGUCCUCUACCCCGCCCACCGCCAGCUUCUGCUGAGGUUUGAGUGAGCUCAGCUCUCCUGAGGUGUGACUGGGCUGGUCUUCACAAUACCAGGAUCUCCUCCAAAUGCCUCUCUGCUCCAUGACCCUGUAGUGGGGGGUGGGGGAGCAGCUUAUCAGAGCAGCUGUCUUUUGUGUGCUUCUCUAUAUGGUUCCAAUUUGAACUUGGCUACACUCUUCACAGAGGGUGGUAGAGCUGACUGAGACCCCAGGCCACCCACCCCACCCCAUGGAGAUUUCCAGCUAACCCUUGACAAAGAUGGAUGGCUAGCGAGCUGGCUAACCUCCUAGAGAAGGUUCCAAGAGGGAUCUGAGCCAGAUCCUUCACUUCAACUCAAUGCUACCCUGUGCGUCCAUUUUCCAUGACAGAGCUUGUGUGCACAUUACAGGAAAGGGGGUUUUGACUUCACCAAAGCCCCUGUAGUGGGCUCCAAUUCUCAGCUGAUUCUUCAAUCCCUCCGAGGCACUCUCAAAGGUCCUACCCAUCCAGACGGAUCUCAGCCUCUCUCCCUUGUUGUCACCUUGCAGAUAUUUAUAGCCUUUCCAUGUCCACUAGAGAGCAUAAUGGGCUUUUUAGGCUAAACCAAUUAAACUCUGUCCUGUAAGUCAUGUCUGCUGCAUGGCUUCAGUCGCCCUUCUCUGAACUUCUUCUAUCUUCAUUAUCUCUGGCCCUUGUGGCAAGGAGGGCCUGGAAGUUCACAUGCUGGCUAAGUGACUUCUGCCUUCCUUUCCAGCUGCCUGGUCCUUUUGCCCAUCAGCCCCCACCCUCCCCUGUGCCCCCUGGGUUGUACAGACACAGCCUAAACUUGAGCAAUGUUGACAAAACCAGGAAGCACAAUAGACUCUAGAGGGGGCCCUUGGUUUUCCUUCUUUUAAAAAUUAUUUAGCUUUUUCCCCCUCCAAUAUUAUGCAAAUCAUAGAUUAUGCACCAGCAGCAAACAGCCAAGCUUUUAUAAAAUACUGUGGGCUGAAGAGGGGAAGCUGCAGGCCACAGAUAUUAUCAUAUCUCAGAUGUGCACCAGGCUCUGAUGGGCUACUGGGAACAUUUCCCCCCAGUGUGCCUGUAUCUGCAAGGGACCCAUGCUUCAAGGCCAUGACCACAUAUUUCCAGCUCUUUCUACAUCAGUAGUGAAAUGGUUAAUGCUUCAAACAGAAAGGCAGCCUGUGUGAGCAGGAGGAUGCAGAUGGUGUUGCUGGCAGUCACAGUCACGAGGAAGACCAGGUCAACCUGGUAAUGUGACUCCUCGGCUCCUGUCCACUGGCUCAUUGUCGAGCUGAAGGAGACCCAUCCGUGGAUUUCACCAGCAUGCAGGGUUAAAUUCUUUCUGCACUUAGUCAUACUCAGUUUAAUUUACAUCUACCAUGGACCAUUGGCUUAAGACAAGAAACAUAAGGAACACUGAGGCAGAAUAUAAUAUCAGGUUCAUGAGGAACAUAAAACACAGAAUAAUUCUAGAUUUUUCCUAGCACUCUAUAAAACAGUGCUAAAAAGGGAAAAUACGGUGGCAAUUAGAGCCAAUUUAGCUUUUUUGUGGUUGUUUAUUAAGAAUAAAGAUGAUCCAACCCCCUAACAUUUUAAGACAUGCUGGCAAAUAGCAGUUACAAGCGUUUCUUUUAAUCUCAACAUUCAAUAGAAGAAAGUGCUUUACGUUUUUAAAAGAUGAGGUGAUUUUUCAAAACACAAAACUUUCAAUAGCUUUGAAUCUGAGGUUUUGGAAGCAAGUUUUUUUUUUUAAAUGCUGUAAUUUAUAAUUACAAUCUGCAUUUUAAAAUAAUUUUGGUCCUCAAAUAAAACAUAAUAUAUCAAAUUAGAUUUGUCAACAAAUGGCCUUUUUUUUCAUAAUUAACUUAGAGUAAAGUAAACAACAUUUAUCAUAAACUUAAUGAGGAAAAUGCCCAAAUUCCUCUUCAUAUAUUAUGGAUAUAAAAAUGGAUUAAAAUAAACUUUAUAAUAUACUUUUUAAUAACACUCUGAUAUAAAAUAAAAUUAUUGUAUUAAAAAACACUUUAUAUACAAAAUUAUUUUUAAAUUCAUGAACACUUCUUCAGAGCUUCCUGGUUUUAAUCAUCAUAGGCCCCAGGACAUAUUUGAUUCUUUGGAAGCCCGGUGCUUAGUUGAGGCUCAGUAGCCACACUGGCCUAAAAGUUGUGACUAAAAACUUAAUCUCAACCUUGACAGCUCCUUUUCCAACUCCCACAGUGUGAUGACUAGUUGUGUGUCAACUUGAUGCAAGCUGGAGUUACCUGAAAGGAGGGAACUUCAAUUGAGAAAAUGCCUCCAGAAGAUCCGGCUCUGAGGCAUUUUCUUAAUUAGUGAUUGCUGGGGGAGGGCCCAGCCGGUCAGUGGUGGGUGGGGCCAUUCCUGGGCUGCUGGUCCUGGCUUCUAUAAGAUAGCAGUUUGAGCAAGCCAUGGGGGGUGAGCCAGUAAGCAGCUCCCCCCUUUGUGGUAUCUGCAACAGCUCCUGCCUCCUGCCUCUUCCCUGCUUGAGUGCCUGUCCUGACUUACCUCAAUGAUGAGCUAUGAUGUAGAAGUAUAACUUGAAUAAACCCUUUCCUCCCCAGGUUUCUUUGGUCAAGUGUUUCACCACAGCAAUAGAAACCCUAGCUGGGACAGACAGUGAUAGGCAACUGUAUCUUAAUCCGUUCAUCCACACAUGGUGUCAAAAGUGAGAUAUAAAAGUUAAAAUUUCUGUGUUGAUAUUAAUGUUUAAGUUUUCCACAAGGAACAAUAACAUUUCCCAACAG